AGAGUUUGAUCAUGGCUCAGAGCGAACGCUGGCGGCAGGCUUAACACAUGCAAGUCGAGCGGGUGUAGCAAUACAUCAGCGGCAGACGGGUGAGUAACGCGUGGGAACGUACCUUUUGGUUCGGAACAACCCAGGGAAACUUGGGCUAAUACCGGAUAAGCCCUUACGGGGAAAGAUUUAUCGCCGAAAGAUCGGCCCGCGUCUGAUUAGCUAGUUGGUGAGGUAAUGGCUCACCAAGGCGACGAUCAGUAGCUGGUCUGAGAGGAUGAUCAGCCACAUUGGGACUGAGACACGGCCCAAACUCCUACGGGAGGCAGCAGUGGGGAAUAUUGGACAAUGGGGGCAACCCUGAUCCAGCCAUGCCGCGUGAGUGAUGAAGGCCCUAGGGUUGUAAAGCUCUUUUGUGCGGGAAGAUAAUGACGGUACCGCAAGAAUAAGCCCCGGCUAACUUCGUGCCAGCAGCCGCGGUAAUACGAAGGGGGCUAGCGUUGCUCGGAAUCACUGGGCGUAAAGGGUGCGUAGGCGGGCCUUUAAGUCAGGGGUGAAAUCCUGGAGCUCAACUCCAGAACUGCCUUUGAUACUGAAGAUCUUGAGUCCGGGAGAGGUGAGUGGAACUGCGAGUGUAGAGGUGAAAUUCGUAGAUAUUCGCAAGAACACCAGUGGCGAAGGCGGCUCACUGGCCCGGUACUGACGCUGAGGCACGAAAGCGUGGGGAGCAAACAGGAUUAGAUACCCUAGUAGUCC
RNAcentral lists this ribosomal RNA (744 nucleotides) under uncultured bacterium. Its description in RNAcentral is "bacterial SSU rRNA". It matches the Rfam family "Bacterial small subunit ribosomal RNA", at positions 8 to 796 of the family's 1533-position model. The record is from RNAcentral.